AGCCUCCGUUUAUGUUGUGAUCAGCGAUGAUCAGCUCUUCAACUUGAGAGUUUGAUCCUGGCUCAGAGCGAACGCUGGCGGCAGGCUUAACACAUGCAAGUCGAGCGGGCCCUUCGGGGUCAGCGGCAGACGGGUGAGUAACGCGUGGGAACGUGCCCUUCGGUUCGGAAUAACUCAGGGAAACUUGAGCUAAUACCGGAUACGCCCUUUUGGGGAAAGGCUUGCUGCCGAAGGAUCGGCCCGCGUCUGAUUAGCUAGUUGGUGAGGUUAUGGCUCACCAAGGCGACGAUCAGUAGCUGGUCUGAGAGGAUGAUCAGCCACACUGGGACUGAGACACGGCCCAGACUCCUACGGGAGGCAGCAGUGGGGAAUAUUGGACAAUGGGGGCAACCCU
This 394-nucleotide ribosomal RNA is filed under the name Methylobacterium terricola. Its description in RNAcentral is "bacterial SSU rRNA". It matches the Rfam family "Bacterial small subunit ribosomal RNA", at positions 1 to 384 of the family's 1533-position model. Lineage: Bacteria; Pseudomonadati; Pseudomonadota; Alphaproteobacteria; Hyphomicrobiales; Methylobacteriaceae. The record is from RNAcentral.